This 297-nucleotide long non-coding RNA is filed under the name Bos taurus (domestic cattle). Its description in RNAcentral is "long non-coding RNA NONBTAT013581". The record is from RNAcentral. Lineage: Eukaryota; Metazoa; Chordata; Mammalia; Artiodactyla; Bovidae.
GUACACAGUGAUAGCAAUUAUUUAUAUGAUUGAUAGGAAUCAUGUCUUGAAACAUGAAAGGUUUUUUAUUUUUUAAUCUUUAGUUUUGCUCUUGAUAUGUAGUUUCCUUUUACCUUUGGUUUCCUAAGCGCACACACACCAAAGCAUUCAUCUUUGCUCCACCCAUUGGGUACAUUUUUCUUGGUGGGCGUUCUGGUUUGCUGUUUGCAAGCAUUGGUUUCUGCAUUUCCUUUUCUCCAGAUAGCAUAAAUUAUGAGUUUGGCAAACUACUAAAGAAAUAGGAGCAGAAGAUUUGGG